This 1983-nucleotide long non-coding RNA is filed under the name Homo sapiens (human). RNAcentral's name for it is "non-protein coding lnc-FAM173B-6:1". The record is from RNAcentral. Lineage: Eukaryota; Metazoa; Chordata; Mammalia; Primates; Hominidae.
UGAUAAAUUUUGUAUCCUAUAUUCAUAAAGAAUAGUGAUCUUUAGUUUUCUUUUCUUGCAAAGGUCUUUUUUAGGUUUUGGUAUCAGGGCAAUGCUGGCCAUUUUAGUUCAGGAGUGUUUCCUUAUUUUCUCUUUUCUGAUAGAGUUUAUGUAGAAUUAGACACACAAAUGCUAUUAUUCCUUCUUUAAGCAGUGGUAAAAUUUAUUAGUGAAGCUAUUUGUACCUGGAAAUUUUAAUAAGACCAUUAAAUAAAGGUAGGCAAACAACCAAGAAUAUAACAGGUAGGCAAACAACCAAGAAUAUAAUGAGAUAAAGACAGGAGUAAAAAGCGUCAGAUAGAAAGUGAAUGAAUUGGAAGAGAGGCAAAGCAAAUCUAACAUUUGUAAAACUGAAGAAGAGGAAGAGGGAGAAGACAAUGAAGAUGAAGGAGGAGGAGGAAGCAAAGGAGAAGAUUUACUACCACCCAUGGACCGGAACUAAUAUUAAAACUAUAUUUCAACAAUGAAACAGGUCUAAUACUUAAAACUAUAUUUCAAGAAAACUUUCUGGGGCCCAUGAUAUGCCUGGAACAAUGGAAUAGGUCUUUAAUUUCUUUCAACAAUGUUUUGUAGGCUUCCCAUACAAAUCUUCCACUUCUUUUGUUAAGUUUAUUCCUAAAUAUAUACUAUUGUAAAUUAUUUUCCAAAUUGCUUUUCCAGAUCGUUCAUUGCUGGAUUUGCAUAUUGAUCUUGCAUCCUGUAACCUUUCUUUUUUCUUUUUGAUGCACUCCAGCCUGGAUGACAGAGCGAGACUGUCUCAAAAAAAAAAAAAAAAAAAAAAGAAGAUAAAAGAGGAACUUCUUCAGAGGAAUUCUGCCCUCUUCAGAAAUGGAGUGGGUUCCCUUUUGGCUACCUUUGGUAUGGUCUGGCUCUAUGGGCUCUAUGUCCCCACCCAAGUCUCAUCUCAAAUUAUAAUCCCCAUAUGUCAGAGGAGGGGCCUAGUGGGAGAUGAUAGGAUUAUGGGGGUGGAUUUCUCCCUUGCUGUUCUCGUGAUAGUGAGUGAGUUCUCACGAGAGCUGAAGCUGAUGGUUUUAAAGUGUGGUAGUUCCCCUCCACCACCUCCUGCCAUCAUGUAAGAUGUGUCUUGCUUCCUUCGCCUUCCACAAUGAUUCUAAGUUUCCUGAGGCCUCCCCAGCCAUGCCGAACUGUUAGUCAAUUAAACCUCUUUCCUUUAUAAAUUACCCAGUUUCAGGUAUGGACUAAUACACCCAUACUCUCUUCUUACUAAUACACCUUACUGUCUGUCAGGGGUGCCUUAGUGGGAAAGUUUGAGAAGCAUAGGCUUGAUGACUUAUUCCUGAGGGCAUAUUAAUGCAAGGUAGGGGACUGCCAGAGACUAAUGCCUUCAUUUAAAAGAGAUAAAGAUGGGUCAUUUGGUUGGAAGUGCAGCAUAUGUAACUCUGGCAUGCUAAAGCUGGCUCCACAACACACAGAGAGAUCUUCUCUAGUUAUAGGUAAUUCUUUGGACAUCCUCAGCCUCCCAAGUAGCUGGGAUUACAGGCGUGCACUGCCACGCCUGAAUAAUUUUUGUAUUUUUAGUAGAGAUGGGGCUUCACCAUGUUGGCCAGGCUGGUCUCCAAAGAUCAGCCAGCCUUGGUCUCCCAAAAUGCUGGGAUUACAGGAAUGAGCCACCAUGCCUGGCCCAGAACCAGAGUUCUUAAUGGCUGUUCGGACUUAAAACAUGGUACCCCAAACUAUGUAACCUUGGUGUGCUGAAAACUUUGAACUGAAGGAGAUUGGGAGGGCCUCAGAAGCAAGGUCCUUCUGACACCUCACUCUCCUUUCUUCCUCUUAUCUUCCCUAAGAAUUCCUCUUUUCCUGCGUAAGUCAUAGAAACAACUUCUCUCCCGCAAAGCAAGUCAUAAAACCUAGAGACGCCACUCCCCUGAAGGUAGAAAACCCUCAUUACAGAGGAGUCCUGUCCCCUAUCCAGGGGAAAGAAUG